Molecule: ribosomal RNA, 1379 nt
Filed under: uncultured prokaryote
Description: partial 16S ribosomal RNA
Rfam family: Bacterial small subunit ribosomal RNA
Source: RNAcentral
GAUUGAACGUUGGCGGCAGGCCUCAUACAUGCAAGUCGAGCGGAAACGAUGGGAGCUUGCUCCCAGGCGUCGAGCGGCGGACGGGUGAGUAACGCGUAGGAAUCUACCCAGUAGCGGGGGAUAGCCCGAGGAAACUCGGAUUAAUACCGCAUACGCCCCACGGGGGAAAGGUCGGGACCUCUUCGGAGACCGAUCACUAUUGGAGGAGCCUGCGUUGGAUUAGCUAGUUGGUAGGGUAAAGGCCUACCAAGGCUACGAUCCAUAGCUGGUCUGAGAGGACGAUCAGCCACACUGGAACUGAGACACGGUCCAGACUCCUACGGGAGGCAGCAGUAGGGAAUAUUGUGCAAUGGGGGAAACCCUGACACAGCCAUGCCGCGUGUGUGAAGAAGGCUCUAGGGUUGUAAAGCACUUUCAGUAGGGAGGAAAAAGCCGUAGUUAAUACCUGCAAUUAGUGACGUUACCCGCAGAAGAAGCACCGGCUAAUUCAGUGCCAGCAGCCGCGGGAAUACUGAAGGUGCAAGCGUUAAUCGGAAUUACUGGGCGUAAAGCGCGCGUAGGCGGCUUGUUAAGCCAGAUGUGAAAGCCCCGGGCUCAACCUGGGAACUGCAUUUGGAACUGGCUCGCUAGAGUACAGUAGAGGGUGGUGGAAUUUCAGGUGUAGCGGUGAAAUGCGUAGAUAUCUGAAGGAACAUCAGUGGCGAAGGCGACUGUCUGGGCUGAUACUGACACUGAGGUGCGAAAGCGUGGGGAGCAAACGGGAUUAGAUACCCCGGUAGUCCACGCCGUAAACGAUGUCUACUAGCCGUUGGGGGACUUGAUCCCUUAGUGGCGCAGCUAACGCACUAAGUAGACCGCCUGGGGAGUACGGUCGCAAGAUUAAAACUCAAAUGAAUUGACGGGGGCCCGCACAAGCGGUGGAGCAUGUGGUUUAAUUCGAUGCAACGCGAAGAAACUUACCAGGUUUUGACAUCCUGAAAACUUUCUAGAGAUAGAUUGGUGCCUUCGGGGAUUCAGUGACAGGUGCUGCAUGGCUGUCGUCAGCUCGUGUCGUGAGAUGUUGGGUUAAGUCCCGUAACGAGCGCAACCCUUGUCCUUAGUUGCUAACAGGUUAAGCUGAGAACUUUAAGGAGACUGCCGGUGACAAACCGGAGGAAGGUGGGGACGACGUCAAGUCAUCAUGGCCCUUACGACCAGGGCUACACACGUGCUACAAUGGGUCGUACAGAGGGUUGCCAAGCCGCGAGGUGGAGCUAAUCCCACAAAACGUCUCGUAGUCCGGAUUGGAGUCUGCAACUCGACUCCAUGAAGUCGGAAUCGCUAGUAAUCGUGAAUCAGAAUGUCACGGUGAAUACGUUCCCGGGCCUUUUACACACCGC